RNAcentral lists this ribosomal RNA (497 nucleotides) under uncultured bacterium. RNAcentral describes it as "partial 16S ribosomal RNA". It matches the Rfam family "Bacterial small subunit ribosomal RNA", at positions 28 to 507 of the family's 1533-position model. The record is from RNAcentral.
GAUGAACGCUGGCGGCGUGCCUAAUACAUGCAAGUCGAGCGAACAGAUGAGGAGUUUGCUCCUCUGACGUUAGCGGCGGACGGGUGAGUAACACGUGGAUAACCUACCUAUAAGACUGGGAUAACUUCGGGAAACCGGAGCUAAGACCGGAUAAUAUAUUGAACCGCAGGGUUCAAUAGUGAAGGACGGUUUUGCUGUCACUUAUAGAUGGAUCCGCGCCGCAUUAGCUAGUUGGUACGGUAACGGCUUACCAAGGCAACGAUGCGUAGCCGACCUGAGAGGGUGGUCGGCCAGACUGGAACUGAGACACGGUCCAGACUCCUACGGGAGGCAGCAGUCGGGAAUCGUCCGCAGUGGGCGAAAGCCUGACGGAGCAGCGCCGCGUGAGUGACGAAGGUGUUCGGAUCGUAAAGCUCUGUUAUUAGGGAAGAACAAAUGUGUAAGUCACUGUGCACGUCGUGACGGUACCUAAACAGAAAGCCACGGCUAACUACGUG